CAAAUCUGAAUCGUCAGAUUGAUCGAAGCGUCCAGAUUUGAUCAUGGGGAGACACAGUCUUAGCCAUUAGAUCUUAAUCAAACGUCACAAGAGAAGAAGAACAAAGUAAAAACCAAGAGGUGAGACGCAUCUGAUCAAAACAGGGGAUAACAUUGGCCGUUAGAUCUAGGAUCUAACGGUUCAACCCUGAUGGUCCAUG
Molecule: long non-coding RNA, 199 nt
Filed under: Glycine max (soybean)
Lineage: Eukaryota; Viridiplantae; Streptophyta; Magnoliopsida; Fabales; Fabaceae
Description: long non-coding RNA (GMAX_LNC003550)
Source: RNAcentral